This 236-nucleotide unclassified non-coding RNA is filed under the name Cistella sp. Its description in RNAcentral is "partial contains 5.8S ribosomal RNA, internal transcribed spacer 2, and large subunit ribosomal RNA". RNAcentral also lists the same sequence under 1 other name. The record is from RNAcentral. Lineage: Eukaryota; Fungi; Ascomycota; Leotiomycetes; Helotiales.
AACGCACAUUGCGCCCCUUGGUAUUCCGGGGGGCAUGCCUGUUCGAGCGUCAUUAUAACCCUCAAGCCUAGCUUGGUGUUGGAGCAUGCUACCUAGCAGCUCUUAAAAUCAGUGGCAGUGCCCUUCGGCUCUAAGCGUAGUAACUUCUCUCGCUAUGGAAACCGGGUGGUAUGCGCCAAAACCCCCAACUUUCUAAGGUUGACCUCGGAUCAGGUAGGGAUACCCGCUGAACUUAA